RNAcentral lists this ribosomal RNA (425 nucleotides) under uncultured bacterium. RNAcentral describes it as "partial 16S ribosomal RNA". It matches the Rfam family "Bacterial small subunit ribosomal RNA", at positions 354 to 796 of the family's 1533-position model. The record is from RNAcentral.
GUGGGGAAUCUUGCGCAAUGGACGAAAGCCUGACGCAGCCAUGCCGCGUGAAUGAUGAAGGUCUUAGGAUUGUAAAAUUCUUUCACCGGGGACGAUAAUGACGGUACCCGGAGAAGAAGCCCCGGCUAACUUCGUGCCAGCAGCCGCGGUAAUACGAAGGGGGCUAGCGUUGCUCGGAAUUACUGGGCGUAAAGGGCGCGUAGGCGGACAGUUUAGUCAGAGGUGAAAGCCCAGGGCUCAACCUUGGAAUUGCCUUUGAUACUGGCUGUCUUGAGUACGGGAGAGGUGAGUGGAACUCCGAGUGUAGAGGUGAAAUUCGUAGAUAUUCGGAAGAACACCAGUGGCGAAGGCGACUCACUGGCCCGUUACUGACGCUGAGGCGCGAAAGCGUGGGGAGCAAACAGGAUUAGAAACCCUAGUAGUCC